UUCGAGUUCCAAUUUUUCGAUGUGUCUAGC
RNAcentral lists this non-coding RNA (30 nucleotides) under Mus musculus (house mouse). The record is from RNAcentral. Lineage: Eukaryota; Metazoa; Chordata; Mammalia; Rodentia; Muridae.